RNAcentral lists this ribosomal RNA (256 nucleotides) under uncultured bacterium. RNAcentral describes it as "partial 16S ribosomal RNA". It matches the Rfam family "Bacterial small subunit ribosomal RNA", at positions 524 to 776 of the family's 1533-position model. The record is from RNAcentral.
UACAGAGACUGCAAGCGUUAUUCGGAUUCACUGGGCGUAAAGGGUGCGCAGGCGGUUGGGUGUGUCAGAUGUGAAAUCCCGAGGCUCAACCUCGGAACUGCGUCUGAAACUACUCGACUAGAGUACUGGAGAGGGUAACGGAAUUCACGGUGUAGCAGUGAAAUGCGUAGAUAUCGUGAGGAACACCAGGAGGCGAAAGGCGGUUACCCUGGACAGUUACUGACGCUCAGGCACGAAAGCAUGGGGAGCAAAAGGG